AAGUCGUAACAAGGUCUCCGUUGGUGAACCAGCGGAGGGAUCAUUACUGAGUUCUACAAAACUCCCAACCCUUUGUGAAUUAUACCUUAGUUGCCUCGGCGUCGAGCGAGUCACCUACCCGGGAGCUACCCUGGAGUCACCUACCCUGUAGAACCUACCCUGUAGGACCUACCCUGUAGACGGCUACCCUGGAGCUACCCUGUAGUUGCACUUUUGCGUCGCCGGUGGACUACCAAACUCUUAUAUGUAUAGUGUAUCUCUGAAUUCUUAACAAAAUUAGUUAAAACUUUCAACAACGGAUCUCUUGGUUCUG
Molecule: unclassified non-coding RNA, 313 nt
Filed under: Hypoxylon carneum
Lineage: Eukaryota; Fungi; Ascomycota; Sordariomycetes; Xylariales; Hypoxylaceae
Description: partial internal transcribed spacer region
Rfam family: Eukaryotic small subunit ribosomal RNA (bases 1-46)
Source: RNAcentral